AACCCAGUGUGACUCGUCACACUAUCAUUAACUGAAUCCAUAGGUUAAUGAGGCGAACCGGGGGAACUGAAACAUCUAAGUACCCCGAGGAAAAGAAAUCAACCGAGAUUCCCCCAGUAGCGGCGAGCGAACGGGGAGGAGCCCAGAGCCUGAAUCAGCAUGUGUGUUAGUGGAAGCGUCUGGAAAGGCGCGCGAUACAGGGUGACAGCCCCGUACACAAAAGCGCAUGUGCUGUGAGCUCGAUGAGUAGGGCGGGACACGUGGUAUCCUGUCUGAAUAUGGGGGGACCAUCCUCCAAGGCUAAAUACUCCUGACUGACCGAUAGUGAACCAGUACCGUGAGGGAAAGGCGAAAAGAACCCCGGCGAGGGGAGUGAAAAAGAACCUGAAACCGUGUACGUACAAGCAGUGGGAGCCCCACCACCAAAGCAUUUGCUGUACCGCGUUGACGGAGCGAAGCGACGUCAAACCGAUAAAACAGCAGUGUAAAGUGAGCCGCAGGGCGCUUUGCGCGACAGCGCAAAGGCAGGCGGUUUCGCGUAGCGAAAGCGAAUGCUUUGGGGUGGGGUGACUGCGUACCUUUUGUAUAAUGGGUCAGCGACUUAUAUUCUGUAGCAAGGUUAACCGAAUAGGGGAGCCGGAGGGAAACCGAGUCUUAAUUGGGCGUUAAGUUGCAGGGUAUAGACCCGAAACCCGGUGAUCUAGCCAUGGGCAGGUUGAAGGUUGGGUAACACUAACUGGAGGACCGAACCGACUAAUGUUGAAAAAUUAGCGGAUGACCUGUGGCUGGGGGUGAAAGGCCAAUCAAACCGGGAGAUAGCUGGUUCUCCCCGAAAGCUAUUUAGGUAGCGCCUCGUGAAUUCAUCUCCGGGGGUAGAGCACUGUUUCGGCUAGGGGGCCAUCCCGGCUUACCAACCCGAUGCAAACUGCGAAUACCGGAGAAUGUUAUCACGGGAGACACACGGCGGGUGCUAACGUCCGUCGUGAAGAGGGAAACAACCCAGACCGCCAGCUAAGGUCCCAAAGUCAUGGUUAAGUGGGAAACGAUGUGGGAAGGCCCAGACAGCCAGGAUGUUGGCUUAGAAGCAGCCAUCAUUUAAAGAAAGCGUAAUAGCUCACUGGUCGAGUCGGCCUGCGCGGAAGAUGUAACGGGGCUAAACCAUGCACCGAAGCUGCGGCAGCGACACUGUGUGUUGUUGGGUA
RNAcentral lists this ribosomal RNA (1202 nucleotides) under Salmonella enterica. RNAcentral's name for it is "partial 23S ribosomal RNA". It matches the Rfam family "Bacterial large subunit ribosomal RNA", at positions 125 to 1230 of the family's 2925-position model. The record is from RNAcentral. RNAcentral also lists the same sequence under 1 other name. Lineage: Bacteria; Pseudomonadati; Pseudomonadota; Gammaproteobacteria; Enterobacterales; Enterobacteriaceae.